UUGGUUGAUCCUGCCAGUAGUGUAUGCUUCUCCUAAAGACUAAGCCAUGCAUGCCUUCGAAUACGAGGAAGCAAUUCUCUCUGAAUCUGCGAACGGCUCCGCAAACCAGUUGUAAACUAUAGCAAGCAGGCUUGGGGUCGGCUCUCACGGGUUGGCUUCGGGCGAUAUGGAUAACCCUGGUAAUUCUGAGGCUAAUACAUGAACGUAAAACCUGGUUGACUGGGCUUCGGUCUGGGAGGCUGGGGGAUGUGUGAUUGCAGGCUUGGGUAACACCGGGAAAGGGCGCACGUCCAGACCGCGCUAUAAAGGAUGGGACCUCUUCGGGGGACCCGCCCCAGCGGCUCUUGCUGUGUGCUUCUGACCUAUCAACUAGACGGCAGCGUAAGGGACAUGCUAUGGUGACAACGGGUACAGAGGAUUAGGGUUCGAUCCUGGAGAGUGGGCCUGAGAGAUUGCUCAUACUUNUAAGGAAGGCAGCAGG
Molecule: ribosomal RNA, 481 nt
Filed under: Lamproderma ovoideum
Lineage: Eukaryota; Evosea; Eumycetozoa; Stemonitida; Stemonitidae
Description: SSU rRNA
Rfam family: Eukaryotic small subunit ribosomal RNA
Source: RNAcentral